UGCAGUCGAACGGUAACAGGUCUUCGGACGCUGACGAGUGGCGAACGGGUGAGUAAUACAUCGGAACGUGCCCAGUCGUGGGGGAUAACUACUCGAAAGAGUAGCUAAUACCGCAUACGAUCUGAGGAUGAAAGCGGGGGACCUUCGGGCCUCGCGCGAUUGGAGCGGCCGAUGGCAGAUUAGGUAGUUGGUGGGAUAAAAGCUUACCAAGCCGACGAUCUGUAGCUGGUCUGAGAGGACGACCAGCCACACUGGGACUGAGACACGGCCCAGACUCCUACGGGAGGCAGCAGUGGGGAAUUUUGGACAAUGGGCGAAAGCCUGAUCCAGCAAUGCCGCGUGCAGGAUGAAGGCCUUCGGGUUGUAAACUGCUUUUGUACGGAACGAAAAAGCUUCUCCUAAUACGAGAGGCCCAUGACGGUACCGUAAGAAUAAGCACCGGCUAACUACGUGCCAGCAGCCGCGGUAAUACGUAGGGUGCGAGCGUUAAUCGGAAUUACUGGGCGUAAAGCGUGCGCAGGCGGUUAUGUAAGACAGAUGUGAAAUCCCCGGGCUCAACCUGGGAACUGCAUUUGUGACUGCAUGGCUAGAGUACGGUAGAGGGGGAUGGAAUUCCGCGUGUAGCAGUGAAAUGCGUAGAUAUGCGGAGGAACACCGAUGGCGAAGGCAAUCCCCUGGACCUGUACUGACGCUCAUGCCACGAAAGCGUGGGGAGCAAACAGGGAUUAGA
Molecule: ribosomal RNA, 730 nt
Filed under: uncultured Delftia sp.
Lineage: Bacteria; Pseudomonadati; Pseudomonadota; Betaproteobacteria; Burkholderiales; Comamonadaceae
Description: bacterial SSU rRNA
Rfam family: Bacterial small subunit ribosomal RNA
Source: RNAcentral